This 372-nucleotide ribosomal RNA is filed under the name uncultured organism. Its description in RNAcentral is "partial 16S ribosomal RNA". It matches the Rfam family "Bacterial small subunit ribosomal RNA", at positions 527 to 896 of the family's 1533-position model. The record is from RNAcentral.
GUAGGUGGCAAGCGUUGUCCGGAAUUAUUGGGCGUAAAGCGCGCGCAGGCGGUUCUUUAAGUCUGAUGUGAAAGCCCACGGCUCAACCGUGGAGGGCCAUUGGAAACUGGAGAACUUGAGUACAGAAGAGGAAAGCGGAACUCCACGUGUAGCGGUGAAGUGCGUAGAGAUGUGGAGGAACACCAGUGGCGAAGGCGGCUUUCUGGUCUGUAACUGACGCUGAGGCGCGAAAGCGUGGGGAGCAAACAGGGAUUAGAUACCCUGGUAGUCCACGCCGUAAACGAUGAGUGCUAAGUGUUAGGGGGUUUCCGCCCCCUUAGUGCUGCAGCUAACGCAUUAAGCACUCCGCCUGGGGAUACGGCCGCAAGGCUG